Molecule: long non-coding RNA, 311 nt
Organism: Magnolia sinica
Lineage: Eukaryota; Viridiplantae; Streptophyta; Magnoliopsida; Magnoliales; Magnoliaceae
Exons: 3
Source: RefSeq, a predicted model, not a curated record
GAUUUCUCCACCCGAAACAGCUCCCUUCGAUCCAUUUCCCUCUCUCUCCUUCAAUCAGGCUUCAGAGAAAUAUAGGUUUGAGCAGUCGUUUGAACACACAAGCCUGUUUAUUGAGAAGCUGGAGAAAGUGUUGGAAUACUACCAUAGGCACGUUGUUCUUCACAAAAAGGGGAUAGAAGUGCCAGUUCUUUCACCCUAUUGCCAUGUGUGGAUGGAGGGUAUGUGCCGAAUCUUAUGCCAAUCGUCUCCCCCGUCUUCUCGAAGCCUUUCUUUGAAUUCAUCGGCCAUCUCCCACAACUCCAGUUUCUUGA